This is a long non-coding RNA of Otolemur garnettii (small-eared galago), 1328 nucleotides long. RefSeq lists it as uncharacterized. The record is from RefSeq and is a predicted model, not a curated record. The transcript has 3 exons. NCBI's taxonomy places the organism in Eukaryota, Metazoa, Chordata, Mammalia, Primates, Galagidae.
CUCAGCUCCUCGAGCGAAAUACACAAAAAGGAGCGAGAGGUUUGAACCAUUGGGGAAAAAAAUAUGUUAUAUGUAGCAGGUUUACAGAGGCGAGUAAGAGAAAAAAAAAAUAAUAAACACCACAGCUCUUUCCAGCUAGAAUAUUAGGCACCACGAGAAAAAUAUUUGCCAAGCCGUUUCGAGGACAGGCUGGCCCCUCACGCAAGAGAACCCAGGAACACAACUGAAAAUGGGUCUGCAGGGUUUGAUGGUCCAGUGUCAUUUUAGAGGAUCAGGGUGACCUGACAACUUGGGUUUGGAGAACCCUUUCGGCUGCCUGAAAUUCGAGUCAUUAAACUGUUCCCUGAGGUCAGAGGACAGACACUCGGUGCAGGUUUCCUACAGGUCCGUGUCUAUGUAACCUGUGUACAUACAGGGACACACACACGAAAAUGUAACUGCGGGGGCACAGUGUAGGGAGAAGGAGAAAACUGAGUUUGUUGCCAAAAAAAACCUUGGUUUCUAAUUACAGAUCUGCCUCGAAUGCCUUAUGGGACACUGAGCAAAGCCACUUGUGAGGACGCCGUUCCCUCAACAACGGUGUGAAGGGUAACCCCGAGGAUGUGCAGGCUCCCUGUCUGCUCCAAGUUCUAUACCUUUACAUCUAAGUACAUAUUUACUUAACUUUUCCGUGGGGGAGAUGGAAAGGAGCUGUGUCUAUUCUGUGUGUGCCUGAGCUGAGGGAAGGGGUUAAAAUGUAAACUUCUAGGUAAAGAAGGCUGUCCCAGAAUCCUCACCUCUAUCAAUUUUUAACCAGUUGUAGACCAAAGUCUAGGAUUCUGCUGCGUGGGUCCAAGAACCAAUUGAAGAUUUUAAACAUUAAAAGUCAUAGGAGACAGGUUCUAAGACCUUGUACUUUUGCUCUCCAGCAUUUAUAAUCAGACUAGACAGUUCCUGAGUGUCUUUUCUGCCCUAUAGUUGUUUUUUUUUUUUUUUUUCUCUAUUUGUUUUUGGAAACAGUCCCGGUCAAUGGUAGGGAGGAGAUGACAUUUGUACACUGGAUAAUUUUUAAGCUACUGGGAUGCAUGUAGCUGUGAAAGAUAUGUCAUAACAGUCACAAAUGCGUGCGCAUGCACGCGCACACACACAUACAUAAAAAAGAUAAGAAAAGCUUAAGAAAUUCCUGGUAAUAAGCUUAGAGGCAACACAGCCGUCACUGCAUUAAGUCAGAGGAAAUAACAAAUGAGGAGUUUGCCCUUACCAAAAAUAAAAAGAGAGAGAGAGAGAAAACAAGAAAGAAAAAGUCUUGAUCUAUCUGAAAACACUUGAAAGCAAUAAAAGAUUGUUUC